This 253-nucleotide ribosomal RNA is filed under the name uncultured bacterium. RNAcentral's name for it is "partial 16S ribosomal RNA". It matches the Rfam family "Bacterial small subunit ribosomal RNA", at positions 524 to 776 of the family's 1533-position model. The record is from RNAcentral.
UACGGGGGGGGCAAGCGUUGUUCGGAAUUACUGGGCGUAAAGGGUUUGUAGGUGGCCGGCUAAGUCAGACGUGAAAUCCCUCAGCUUAACUGGGGAACUGCGUCUGAAACUGAUCGGCUCGAGUGCAGGAGAGGAACGCGGAAUUCCAGGUGUAGCGGUGAAAUGCGUAGAUAUCUGGAGGAAUACCGGUGGCGAAGGCGGCAUCCUGGACCAUUACUGACGCUGAGGCGCGAAAGCUAGGGGAGCAAACGGG